RNAcentral lists this long non-coding RNA (311 nucleotides) under Ananas comosus (pineapple). RNAcentral's name for it is "long non-coding RNA (ACOM_LNC043240)". The record is from RNAcentral. Lineage: Eukaryota; Viridiplantae; Streptophyta; Magnoliopsida; Poales; Bromeliaceae.
UAUUUCCCUUUAUUCAUUUUUAAAAAAUAAACUUAAUUAAAAAUAUAAAAUAACUAAUCUUCGAAUUUAAAAAUCUCAAGUAUCAUUAAAAUUUUAUAUAUAUAUAUAUAUAUAUAGUUGAGCUAAAAUACUAUCAGUAGUAAACGAGCCGUUUUACUACCGAUUUGUUUUCGAUGAUAGAACUUUCAAAUUGACGUUCAGCUCCGUUGAAUAUGAUCUAUAGCACUUGAAGUAUUUAGAAAUCAAAUUUCAAAUCUUUUCGACAUCAUUUGCCUAAUGAUCAAAGAGUUUCAAAAUUUGUAAUUUUAAUG